Molecule: ribosomal RNA, 366 nt
Filed under: Triticum aestivum (bread wheat)
Lineage: Eukaryota; Viridiplantae; Streptophyta; Magnoliopsida; Poales; Poaceae
Description: partial small subunit ribosomal RNA
Source: RNAcentral
AACAGCAGGUCUACAAGGUGCGAGUGUACAGCCAUGAUCAGAUUGUUGAGGUCAUCAGACAAUGGUUGGUACAUAUGCGAACACCGUACAGUUCACAACCACCGCAUGUCUCUGACUUGCGGAGAGAAGUUGCAUUGGAAAUCACACAGGCACAUUGAUAGGUACACUAGGAAUCUGGUGCUGCAGCUCAGGGAGAAUAACGUUAGUCUUAGCAAGGUCUAUAGCAUUGUCAGUAGUUUUUUUGGAACUUUGGAGAAUGUACCAUUCACCAAGAGGUCUUUGCGCACACUGUGUGGCAAGUUGAGCAGGGAGCAAUCGGACAAUGAUGCUACCAAGACAAUAGGUCUCCUCCAAGAUUUAAAAGCA